AGUGAACGCUGGCGGUAGGCCUAACACAUGCAAGUCGAACGGCAGCACAGUAAGAGCUUGCUCUUACGGGUGGCGAGUGGCGGACGGGUGAGGAAUACAUCGGAAUCUACUUUUUCGUGGGGGAUAACGUAGGGAAACUUACGCUAAUACCGCAUACGACCUACGGGUGAAAGCAGGGGAUCUUCGGACCUUGCGCGAUUGAAUGAGCCGAUGUCGGAUUAGCUAGUUGGCGGGGUAAAGGCCCACCAAGGCGACGAUCCGUAGCUGGUCUGAGAGGAUGAUCAGCCACACUGGAACUGAGACACGAUCCAGACUCCUACGGGAGGCAGCAGUGGGGAAUAUUGGACAAUGGGCGCAAGCCUGAUCCAGCCAUACCGCGUGGGUGAAGAAGGCCUUCGGGUUGUAAAGCCCUUUUGUUGGGAAAGAAAGGCAGCAGGUUAAUACCCCGCUGUUCUGACGGUACCCAAAGAAUAAGCACCGGCUAACUUCGUG
This 492-nucleotide ribosomal RNA is filed under the name uncultured bacterium. Its description in RNAcentral is "partial 16S ribosomal RNA". It matches the Rfam family "Bacterial small subunit ribosomal RNA", at positions 29 to 507 of the family's 1533-position model. The record is from RNAcentral.